AAAAUAAUGUGUUUUUCUGAAAUAGUAUGAUAUAUUUAUAAAAUGCAUGCAAUUCUCUUAUAAAACACGA
This 70-nucleotide small RNA is filed under the name Arabidopsis thaliana (thale cress). RNAcentral's name for it is "ATSL260650". Lineage: Eukaryota; Viridiplantae; Streptophyta; Magnoliopsida; Brassicales; Brassicaceae. The record is from RNAcentral.